GUUACUGAAUGUAUACGGAGAAGCCUGAGGUAAUAUAAAUAAUGUUCGGUGCCGUUAACGCUAACGACAGGCAUUCUACUGAUCACCUCUGCGCCUCCUCUAAUUUUCUUUUGCCAUUUUCCAGAGGAUUGUUAGAAUGUGUAGUAAUGUUGGGAAACAUCAGUGCUUCCGUGAGUAAGAAAGAACAACUGACAGGGCGUCAAUCUGCAGGGGGUGACAGAAUAAACUGUCUAGGCACAUGUACAGUAGAUAUGAGAGCAGGAUGUGUUGUCACCAAAUGGAGAACUCAAUGUUGACAUUGAGGAAGAUUGUUUCCCAGGGUUGAAGUUUGUUUCUAAUGGCUUGUGGUAACUUGUUGAUGGCUUUUGUGUGAGCGGGUGAAUGGAUUUUUUUGUAUUAUUUUAUUUGUUGCGAAUCUGGGAGUGCAUGGUGGUCCAAUGGGGAACAGCACGGGGUCCCCCUUCCGCUCGAAGCGGUCAGUAUAAAUUGACCGCUCGGAGUGAUUUUCUUCCUUUUUUUGACCCGCGGCGAGAUGUAGGUCGGGUCAGGUUUCUGCGUGGCGCACCGCACGCGUGGAGUGAGGUUGCUUGUGCAACUUGGCUGGGUGUUUUGUUAUAUAUGAAUUGUUUUGUUUGGUGUAAAAAGUUUGUUGUGUACGUAUUGUUUUGUACGUAACGUAUUGUACGUAGUGGUUUUACGUAGUGUUUUGUUUGGUGUGGACUUUUGGAUGUCGAGAAUGGAUGAAGGGAGGUUUCUGUGUGUCAGGGCCUGGACCAUCCUAGACAUCAUAAGUCGGCGCAACACCAUCAAAUGGUCAAACGUAAUGUUUUGUUUCGUUGAGUUCUGCUUGUAUUGUAUGUCUUGAGUGUUUUGUUACGUUAAAGUUCUGUUUUGUUAAUCUAUUUUUUAUUUAUAUAA
Long non-coding RNA from Physella acuta, 918 nucleotides. RefSeq lists it as uncharacterized. The record is from RefSeq and is a predicted model, not a curated record. Lineage: Eukaryota; Metazoa; Mollusca; Gastropoda; Physidae.